This is a non-coding RNA of Chlorocebus sabaeus (green monkey), 2689 nucleotides long. The record is from RefSeq and is a predicted model, not a curated record. Lineage: Eukaryota; Metazoa; Chordata; Mammalia; Primates; Cercopithecidae.
CCAGCCCCAGAGGAUUAUCACAAAAUUAUAAAACAGCCUAUGGACGUGGGUACUAUUAAAAGGAGACUUGAAAACAGUUAUUAUUGGGCUGCCUCAGAGUGUAUGGAAGAUUUAAAUACCAUGUUCACCAACUGUUACAUUUACAACAAGCCCACUGAUAAUAUUGUCGUAAUGGCACAAACGCUGGAAAAGAUCUUCCUACAGAAAGUUGCAUCAAUGCCACAAGAAGAACAAGAACUGGUGGUGACCAUCCCUAAUAACAGCCACAAGAAGGGGGCCAAGUUGGCAGCACUCCAGGACAGUGUUACUCGUGCUCAUCAGGUGUCUGCCAUCUCUUCUGUGUCACACACAGCCCUGUAUACUCCCCCACCUGAGAUACCUACCACGGUCCUCAACAUUCCCCACUCAUCAGUCAUUUCCUCUCCACUUUUCAAGUCCCUGCACUCUGCUGAAACCCCUCUCCUUGCUGUUACUGCAGCUCCUCCAGCUCAACCCCUUGCCAAGAAAAAAGGUAUAAAGCGGAAAGCAGUUACUACCACCCCUACACCUACAGCCAUCCUGGCUCCUGGUUCCCCAGCUAGCCAUCCUGGGAGUCUUGAGCAUAAGGUAGCACGGGUUCCCGCAUGCCCCCAUCAAGCCUGCACGCAAAGACUUGCCUGACAUAUCAGCAACAAGACCAGAGCUCUAAGAAAGGAAAGCUUUCAGAACAAUUAAAACAUUGCAAUGGCAUAUUGAAGGAGUUACUCUCUAAGAAGCAUGCAGCCUAUGCUUGGCCUUUGUAUAAACCAGUGGAUGCUUCUGCACUUGGCCUGCGUAACUACCACGACAUCAUGAGGCACCCCAUGGACCUCAGCAAUGUCAAGAAAAUGGAGAACCCUGAUUACCGAGAUGCACAGGAGUUUGCUGCUGAUGUACUGCUUAUGUUUUCCAACUGCUAUAAGUACAGUCCCCCAGAUCACCCCCAGAUUUUGUGGUAGUGGCACGAAAGCUACAGGAUGUAUUUGUUUCCGUUAUGCCAAGAUGCCAGAUGAACCACUGGAACCAGGGCCUUUACCAGUCUCUACUGCCAUGCCCCUUGGCUUGGCCAAAUCAUCUUCAGAGUCCUCCAGUGAGGAAAGUAGCAGUGAGAGCUCCUCUGAGGAAGAGGAGGAGGAAGAUGAGGAGGACGAGGAGGAAGAAGAAGAGAGCUAAAGCUCAGACUUAAAGGAAGAAAGGGCUCAUGGCUUAGCAGAACUACAGGAACAGCUUUGGGCAGUACAUGAACAACUGGUUGGUCUGUGUCAGGAUCCAAUAUCCAAGCCCAAGAGCAAAAGAGAGAAAAAAGAGAAAAGUAAGAAACAAAAGGCAGGGAAGCAUUGAGACGGAGCUGGGGCUCAUGAAGAUGACAAGGGCCCUUGGGCAUCCCGCCCACCUUAGCCCAAGAAGUCCAAGAAAGCAAGUGGUAGUGGGGGUGGCAGUGCUGCUUUAGGCCCUCCUGGCUUUGGACCUUCUGGAGGAAGUGGCACCAAGCUCCCCAAAAAGGCCACAAAGUCAACCCCACCUGCCCUGCCUAAGGGUUAUGAUUCAGAGGAGGAGGAAGAGAGCAGUCCCAUGACUUACAAUGAGAAGUGGCAGCUGAGCCUGGACAUCAGCGAAUUACCUGGGGAGAAGCUGGGCUGAGUUGUGCAUAUAAUCCAAGCCAGGGAGCCCUCUUUACGUGGUUGAAACUCAGAAGAGAUUGAGAUUGGUUCUGAAACACUCAAGCCAUCCACACUUAGAAAGCUUGAGCUCUAUGUCCUUUCCUGCAUACGUAAGAAACCCCGGAGGCCCUAUACCAUUAAGAAGUCUGUGGGACAGACAAAGGAGGAACUCACUUUGGAGAAAAAGCAGGAAUUAGAAAAGUGGUUACAAGAUGUCAGCAGACAACUCAAUUCCCCUAAAAAGUCCCCCAAAGAAAGUGAGUGAGAAAACAGAGUCAUCCUCUGCACAGCAAGUAGCAGUGUCAUGCCUUAGCUCAAGCUCAGAUUCCAGCUCCUCCUCCUCAUCGUCCCCUUCUUCAGACACCAGUGAUUCAGACUCAGGCUAAGGGGUCAGGUCAGAUAGGGCAGGAAGGCUCCGCAGGACGGGACCCCUAGACCACCCUGUCCCACAUGCCCCUGUCCUCCUUUGCUAUGACACUUCUUCAUCUCACCCCCUUACCCCCGACUAGGAGAGCUGGCUCUGCAGUCAGGGAGAGAUGCAGGGACAUUUACUGAAGGAGGGACGUGGACAAAAUAAUAUUGAAUCCCCAGCCCCACUGGGGAGUGAUCUCUUGGAACAUAGAGCCCCCAUUCAAAAUGACUGGGGCGGGGCAAAUACAUUUUUAAAUAUUAUUGAGACAUGAAUUAUGAAGGGCAGGCAGUCAUCUCUAUUCAUUCAAAUAUGUGUGGACAUAUUCUUUUGUUCAUUUUUUUCAAAUUUUAAUUUUUUUCAACUUUUAGGUUCAUGAAUACAUCUGCAGAUUUGUUAUACAGGUUCAUGGGUACAUGUGCAGGUUUGUUAUACGGGUAUGUCAUGGGGGUUUGGUGUACAGACUACAUCAUCACUCAGGUAAUAAACAUAGCACCUGAUAGGUAGUCUUUUGAUCCUCUCCCUUCUCCUAGCCUUCACCCUCAAGUAGGCCCUGGUGUCUGUUCCCUUCCUUGUGUUCUUGUGUACUAAAUGAUUAGCU